CGCGUCCCCGCCCCCGCCU
Molecule: ribosomal RNA, 19 nt
Filed under: Juniperus barbadensis var. lucayana
Lineage: Eukaryota; Viridiplantae; Streptophyta; Pinopsida; Cupressales; Cupressaceae
Description: partial 26S ribosomal RNA
Source: RNAcentral